This 211-nucleotide ribosomal RNA is filed under the name Solenopsis sp. 12 GR-2022a. RNAcentral describes it as "partial large subunit ribosomal RNA". Lineage: Eukaryota; Metazoa; Arthropoda; Insecta; Hymenoptera; Formicidae. The record is from RNAcentral. RNAcentral also lists the same sequence under 1 other name.
GAAUUUAAUAUAAUUUUGUUGAAUAAAUUUUAUUUUAAUUAAAUAUUAAUUAUAUUUAGUUGGGAGGAUUGUUAAAUUUAAUAAACUUUAAUUAAAAAUGAUAAUAUAAAUUAAUAAAUUUUAGAGUGGUUAUUAAAUUAAAUAAGAAUUAAUUACCUUAGGGAUAACAGCGUAAUAUUUUUAGAGAGUUCAUAUUGAUAAAAGUGUUUGC